CCCAGCUAGUCAUGCUAGAGCACUUUUUCAAUGAGCUCCCUAACGAGAAGGCGACAACAUUCGUAUGUCAAUCCAUAUCAACUUUUGAUGCCAUUGACUGCGCCUACCAUGGUGACCACGGGUAACGGAGAAUCGGGGUUCGAUUCCGUACAGGGACCCUGACAAACUGCUACCACAUGCAAGGAAGGCAGCAGGCGCGCAAAUGACCCACUCCCGACGCGGGAAGGUAGUAAUG
Non-coding RNA from Pelobates cultripes (western spadefoot toad), 235 nucleotides. NCBI's taxonomy places the organism in Eukaryota, Metazoa, Chordata, Amphibia, Anura, Pelobatidae. The record is from the annotation of a GenBank genome assembly.